CCUACGGGAGGCAGCAGUGAGGAAUAUUGGACAAUGGGCGCAAGCCUGAUCCAGCCAUGCCGCGUGCAGGAAGAAGCAUCUAUGGUGUGUAAACUGCUUUUGUACAGGAAGAAACACUCCCUCGUGAGGGAGCUUGACGGUACUGUAAGAAUAGGGACCGGCUAACUCCGUGCCAGCAGCCGCGGUAAUACGGAGGGUCCGAGCGUUAUCCGGAAUCAUUGGGUUUAAAGGGUCCGUAGGCGGUUUAAUAAGUCAGUGGUGAAAUCUGGUCGCUCAACGAUCAAACGGCCAUUGAUACUGUUAGACUUGAAUUAUAAGGAAGUAACUAGAAUAUGUAGUGUAGCGGUGAAAUGCUUAGAUAUUACAUGGAAUACCAAUUGCGAAGGCAGGUUACUACUUAUGGAUUGACGCUGAUGGACGAAAGCGUGGGGAGCGAACAGGAUUAGAUACCCUGGUAGUCCACGCCGUAAACGAUGGAUACUAGCUGUUCGGAGCAAUCUGAGUGNGUAGACGAAGUAGAGUAAGUAAGUACCACCGUCGGGAGGUAACGGUUCGUCGAAGAAGUAGUUAAACGUUAACGAAAGGAAAGUUAGUUACGGCGUUGAGACGNGCGACGGACGACGACGAGGGAGGAGG
This 636-nucleotide ribosomal RNA is filed under the name uncultured bacterium. RNAcentral's name for it is "bacterial SSU rRNA". The stretch from base 1 to 536 matches the Rfam family "Bacterial small subunit ribosomal RNA", at positions 338 to 873 of the family's 1533-position model. The record is from RNAcentral.